CCACCCGUGUAUACCGUACCUUGUUGCUUCGGCGGGCCCGCCGCGCAAGCGGCCGCCGGGGGGGCGUCAAACCCCCCUCCCUAGGCGAGCGCCCGCCGGAGACACCAACGUGAACACUGUCUGAAGUUUUGUUGUCUGAGUUCGAUUGUAUCGCAAUCAGUUAAAACUUUCAACAAUGGAUCUCUUGGUUCCGGCAUCGAUGAAGAACGCAGCGAAAUGCGAUAAUUAAUGUGAAUUGCAGAAUUCAGUGAAUCAUCGAGUCUUUGAACGCACAUUGCACCCCCUGGUAUUCCGGGGGGUAUGCCUGUCCGAGCGUCAUUGCUGCCCUCAAGCACGGCUUGUGUGUUGGGUCGUCGUCCCCCCUCCCGGGGGGGACGGGCCCGAAAGGCAGCGGCGGCACCGCGUCCGGUCCUCGAGCGUAUGGGGCUUUGUCACCCGCUCUUGUAGGCCCGGCCGGCGCUGGCCGACGCUGAAAAGCAACCAACUAUUUCUCCAGGUUGACCUCGGAUCAGGUAGGGAUACCCGCUGAACUUAAGCAUAUCAAUAAGC
This 549-nucleotide unclassified non-coding RNA is filed under the name Aspergillus sp. Its description in RNAcentral is "sequence contains ITS1, 5.8S rRNA gene, ITS2". The stretch from base 165 to 318 matches the Rfam family "5.8S ribosomal RNA". The record is from RNAcentral. Lineage: Eukaryota; Fungi; Ascomycota; Eurotiomycetes; Eurotiales; Aspergillaceae.